AGCGAACGUUAGCGGCGGGCCUAACACAUGCAAGUCGAACGCGAAAGGUCUUCGGACUGAUUAGAGUGGCGCACGGGUGAGUAACACGUAGGUAAUCUACCCUUUGGCGGGGGAUAACGUUCCGAAAGGAGCGCUAAUACCGCAUAAGACCACGGAGUCUCCGGACGCUGUGGGAAAAGGUGGCCUCUUCUUGAAAGCUAUCACCGGAGGAUGAGCCUGCGUCCCGUCAGCUAGUUGGUAAGGUAAUGGCUUACCAAGGCAAAGACGGGUAGCUGGUUUGAGAGAAUGAUCAGCCACACUGGCACUGGAACACGGGCCAGACUCCUACGGGAGGCAGCAGUGAGGAAUAUUGGGCAAUGGGCGAAAGCCUGACCCAGCCACGCCGCGUGAGUGAUGAAGGCCCUCGGGUCGUAAAGCUCUGUGGAGAGGGACGAAAAACCUGGGGUCUAAUAGGCCCCGGACUUGACGGUACCUCUUUAGCAAGCACCGGCUAACUCUGUGCCAGCAGCCG
RNAcentral lists this ribosomal RNA (511 nucleotides) under uncultured bacterium. Its description in RNAcentral is "bacterial SSU rRNA". It matches the Rfam family "Bacterial small subunit ribosomal RNA", at positions 29 to 517 of the family's 1533-position model. The record is from RNAcentral.